UACAAAAGAAACUGAUGUUCGUUACAUG
This 28-nucleotide small RNA is filed under the name Bombyx mori (domestic silkworm). RNAcentral's name for it is "ovarian small RNA-19982". Lineage: Eukaryota; Metazoa; Arthropoda; Insecta; Lepidoptera; Bombycidae. The record is from RNAcentral.